This is a long non-coding RNA of Hyla sarda, 451 nucleotides long. RefSeq lists it as uncharacterized. The record is from RefSeq and is a predicted model, not a curated record. NCBI's taxonomy places the organism in Eukaryota, Metazoa, Chordata, Amphibia, Anura, Hylidae. The transcript is spliced from 3 exons.
CAGGAGUCUUCGCCGUUAUUGGGUUCACCCCAUAAAUCAGCUGCGUGACGACCGUGGUCAUGUUGGUCAUCUUUAUGCUGAGCUCAGACGUUAUUCGGAUAAAUUCUAUAACUUUGUCCGCAUGCCAAUGGAGGCAUUUGAUUAACUUUUGGCCAUUGUUGGACUCCCAUCUUCAGCGUUCCCACACACAAUUGCGCAAAGCAAUCACACCAAUGGAGCGUCUGUUGAUCACCUUGAGAUUUCUGGCGACUGGGGAGAGUUAAGCCUCGUUACAUUUGCAAUUCCGUGUUGGCGAAUCAACCAUCAGCGGUAUUGUGAAGGAAACAUGCACCAUGAUUUGGCAGUACAUGCAGCCAAUUUCGUUGCCCAGUCCAAACCAGGAGAGAUGGCUUCAGGCAACAUCAGGAUUUCAGUCUGUUGCCCACUUUCCCAACUGCAUAGGCGCUGUCGA